RNAcentral lists this transfer RNA (57 nucleotides) under Capra hircus (goat). It matches the Rfam family "tRNA", at positions 8 to 63 of the family's 71-position model. From Rfam's summary of the family: Transfer RNA (tRNA) molecules are approximately 80 nucleotides in length. RNAcentral also lists the same sequence under 1 other name. The record is from Rfam by way of RNAcentral. Lineage: Eukaryota; Metazoa; Chordata; Mammalia; Artiodactyla; Bovidae.
UAGCUCAGUUGGUAAAGAAUCUGCCUUCAAUGCAGCAGACCCAGGUUCAAUCCCUGG